GACGAACGCUGGCGGCGUGCUUAACACAUGCAAGUCGAACGGUAAGGGUUGGCAUUUGUGGGGUGUGCAAGUGGCGAACAGGGGUGUGUAACGCGAGUAACCUGCCCUUUACUUUGGGAUAACUUCAGUAAACUGGGGUGAAUAUCGGAUAUGAGCACCUGCUGCAUGGUGGGUGUGGGAAAGUGUCGGCGGUUGGGGAUGGAGUCGCGGCUUAUCAGCGUGUUGGUGAGGUAGUGGAGUACCAAGGCAUUGACGGGUAGCCGGCCUGAGAGGGUGACAGGCCACAUUGGGACUGAGAUACCACCAAGAGUGAUACGGGAGGCAGCAGUGAGAGACAGUGCACGAUGCGCGGCAGCAGGAAGCAGCAACGUCGCGUGCGAGAUGUCGGUCUUCGGGUUGUAACCCGCGUUCGCCUGUGAAGAAGAGCGAGUGACGGUAACUAGUAAAGAAGCAACGGCUAACUACGUG
This 468-nucleotide ribosomal RNA is filed under the name uncultured bacterium. Its description in RNAcentral is "partial 16S ribosomal RNA". It matches the Rfam family "Bacterial small subunit ribosomal RNA", at positions 28 to 507 of the family's 1533-position model. The record is from RNAcentral.